Molecule: ribosomal RNA, 492 nt
Filed under: uncultured bacterium
Lineage: Bacteria
Description: partial 16S ribosomal RNA
Rfam family: Bacterial small subunit ribosomal RNA
Source: RNAcentral
AGUGAACGCUGGCGGUAGGCCUAACACAUGCAAGUCGAACGGAAGCACAGUAAGAGCUUGCUCUUACGGGUGGCGAGUGGCGGACGGGUGAGGAAUACAUCGGAAUCUACUUUUUCGUGGGGGAUAACGUAGGGAAACUUACGCUACUACCGCAUACGACCUACGGGUGAAAGCAGGGGUUCUUCGCACCUUGCGCGAUUGAAUGAGCCGAUGUCGGAUUAGCUAGUUGGCGGGGUAAAGGCCCACCAAGGCGACGAUACGUAGCUGGUCUGAGAGGAUGAUCAGCCACACUGGAACUGAGACACGGUCCAGACUCCUACGGGAGGCAGCAGUGGGGAAUAUUGGACAAUGGGCGCAAGCCUGAUCCAGCCAUACCGCGUGGGUGAAGAAGGCCUUCGGGUUGUAAAGCCCUUUUGUUGGGAAAGAAAAGCAGCAGGUUAAUACCCCGCUGUUCUGACGGUACCCAAAGAAUAAGCACCGGCUAACUUCGUG